CUCCCCUGAUGUACCUGAACAAGAGGAUUUCCUCACAUCAUUUCCUUGUGUCUGGACAUCAGGGGUAAC
RNAcentral lists this microRNA precursor (69 nucleotides) under Homo sapiens (human). RNAcentral describes it as "miAB18_pre". Lineage: Eukaryota; Metazoa; Chordata; Mammalia; Primates; Hominidae. The record is from RNAcentral.